UUGAAAGUUGUGUUUUCAUUAGCAUAAAGAACCUUUAUAUAGGCCACGACUUCUUGAACAUAAGAAGGAAAACAAGGAAAAACACCAAAACUAUUAUAACUCUAACACAUAAAGAAAAACACCAAAACGCAUUAACCGUAUCAUUACUCCCUUCCUUGACUUCGAGCUUAAGGGUAUGCUUCUUGUAGCUUCUUUGCGUUCUUCCACAUAUUUCACCAUUUCUUCUUCUUUAAAUCACUACAAGAAAUAUCUACAUUAUUAGCAAGAGGUAAGAGCUAUUAUAUGUCAUUAAUAGCGUUUGCAUAAACGCUGUCUUAUGCCCCUGUUAUGGUAGACCCCCUACAUACGAUAGCGUUUUUUUGGUAUAUUAUUAUAGAGCAUUCUACCAUAGUAUUAGGCAAACACUUUGAUAUAACGACUUAUAAUAGCGAUAUAUAUAAGCUAUGAUCUAUAAUUUUUAUGAUGC
RNAcentral lists this long non-coding RNA (466 nucleotides) under Arabidopsis lyrata. Its description in RNAcentral is "long non-coding RNA (ALYR_LNC001663)". The record is from RNAcentral. Lineage: Eukaryota; Viridiplantae; Streptophyta; Magnoliopsida; Brassicales; Brassicaceae.